This 157-nucleotide ribosomal RNA is filed under the name Metarhizium anisopliae. Its description in RNAcentral is "5.8S ribosomal RNA". It matches the Rfam family "5.8S ribosomal RNA". From Rfam's summary of the family: 5.8S ribosomal RNA (5.8S rRNA) is a component of the large subunit of the eukaryotic ribosome. Lineage: Eukaryota; Fungi; Ascomycota; Sordariomycetes; Hypocreales; Clavicipitaceae. The record is from RNAcentral.
AAACUUUCAACAACGGAUCUCUUGGUUCUGGCAUCGAUGAAGAACGCAGCGAAAUGCGAUAAGUAAUGUGAAUUGCAGAAUUCAGUGAAUCAUCGAAUCUUUGAACGCACAUUGCGCCCGUCAGUAUUCUGGCGGGCAUUCCUGUUCGAACGUCAUU